AACGAACGCUGGCGGCAUGCCUAACACAUGCAAGUCGAACGAUGCUUUCGGGCAUAGUGGCGCACGGGUGCGUAACGCGUGGGAAUCUGCCCUUGGGUUCGGAAUAACAGUGAGAAAUUGCUGCUAAUACCGGAUGAUGUCUUCGGACCAAAGAUUUAUCGCCCAGGGAUGAGCCCGCGUAGGAUUAGCUAGUUGGUGGGGUAAUGGCCUACCAAGGCGACGAUCCUUAGCUGGUCUGAGAGGAUGAUCAGCCACACUGGGACUGAGACACGGCCCAGACUCCUACGGGAGGCAGCAGUGGGGGAUAUUGGACAGUGGGCGCAAGCCUGAUCCAGCAAUGCCGGGUGAGUGAUGAAGGCCUUAGGGUUGUAAAGCUCUUUUACCCGGGAUGAUAAUGACGGUACCGGGAGAAUAAGCUCCGGCUAACUCCGUG
This 433-nucleotide ribosomal RNA is filed under the name uncultured bacterium. RNAcentral's name for it is "partial 16S ribosomal RNA". It matches the Rfam family "Bacterial small subunit ribosomal RNA", at positions 29 to 507 of the family's 1533-position model. The record is from RNAcentral.